CUGCAAUGAUGACCAAUUAGGACACCUUUGAUUAUCCAUGAAGACGAAUCAGAAACCUGAGCAGC
This is a small nucleolar RNA of Gymnodraco acuticeps, 65 nucleotides long. RefSeq annotates it as small nucleolar RNA SNORD58. Lineage: Eukaryota; Metazoa; Chordata; Actinopteri; Perciformes; Bathydraconidae. The record is from RefSeq and is a predicted model, not a curated record. The transcript has a single exon.